GUCCUGGUAUUUGACACUUUGGCUUCUGUUGAUGGUCAAACUGGGGAUUCAACUCCUGGGAAUUGAUCCAGGGCUGUGAGUGGAUUGCCAGCAGUUGGCAUGGACCCUGGAGACCUCAGCCAGGCCUAUGAGAGGGCUGCAGGGUGGUCGAUGCUGGGGUCAGCAAGGCGUUGACCUGGGCUUCUUGCUUCUCAUCAGAAUAUGGGAUUGCAGUGGUUAACCAGGGGCCUCUGGGCAGAGGACAUUCAGGCCUAAACCUAGUUGGCAAGGCAGCCUCCCCCACCCCUCCAUCUGGCAGCCAUGGCUGGGACCCACAAUGCAGUGCUCUCUAGUCUGGAAGUGGGGGGUGAGGGUGGGGCCAUCUCUUUAGGACAAAGCUCUGGGGCCCAGUCUGGCCCAACACUGUUCUUGUACAUAAAGUUUUAGAGGGAUACAGCCAUACUUUUUGAAGACAAGGCUAUGUAGCCCAGGUUGGCCUCAAAUUCAUAAUCCUUGGGGUCUUGGGUGUUGCGAUUGCAAGCCUGUGCCGUCAUGCCUGGCUCCAGCUGUGCCUGUGUUUAUGGAUUAACUAAGGCGGCUUUAGGAUCACAAGGGCAGGGUUCAACAGUUGGGACAGCAACCACAUGGCCCACAAGGCUUAGCAUACCGACUGUCUGGCCCUUUGCAGACGGAGCUGCUGGCCUGGGCUUGAACAGAAAGCAGCUGGCAUCAGGACUGGUGGGGUGGGGCUUUCCAAGAGUGAGACCUAAGGAUGGGCUAGGAGCCCUGGGGAGGUUUGGGAGAUGGUAAAGACUCUGAGGUCUGGGUUUGGUUUAGUACAGAUUCAAAAACCCCCUCUCUCCCAGCAGUGCCAGAGGCUGGCUUGUCAAAGGCCAGGACAGCCAUUUGGGGGCUUUUGUGAGAGAAGAAGCUACAGACUGGUACAGAUACAGGGAGCAGUCUCCGGGCGCUUCUGCCUCUGCCAGAGACAGCAUUCGGAGCAACUGGCUCAGACAAGCCUCUUGGACUUGUGGCCCUAGAGGACCAGGCCAUAUGAUUUUCCAAGAGAAGCCAACUUGCAGUUGGGUUUCCUGGGAAAUCUGGUUUUUAUCCAGUUAAUUGCAUUUUUAUGAAGUCACAUAGAGAACAGGCACAGGAAUGCCUGGCUUUCAGGCUUCAAAGUAGGGAACUUGGGGGUGGGUAGGUGGAGAAUGGUUGGAGGUUGGGCUCAGCUAAGCCCCUCCUGCAGCUACAGCAGCCUGGCUGUGGCCCCCAGGCUGGGCAGGAUGGUGUCGGGUUUCUAGCUUGACCUAGCCACCCCUGAGCUGUGGAGAAUUCCUGCCUAGGAGUCUGGAUUUAGGAAUGGGGUGUCAGAGCUCAUAGCCUUGGGUACUCUACCUGUAGUCCCCUCUGAGGAACGCAGAGUGAGUGAGUGAGUGAGACUGUAAGGCGUGUGUUUGUUACUUUGUCAUCCAGGAGCCUGAGAGGUGGGUGGCAGGCAGGGCUGAACAGCACAGGGCUUCCUGGGCAAGGUCGAGCUGGCCAGCCCUUUAAAGGGUGUCUGCACCCCUACUGUGGCUGGGCCACUUUGCAGCAUCCUGGACGUGCCGGCUCCUGUCGACCUGGCUUUUGAGCCUUUUGUGAAAGCGGUUCCCAUCCGGGUGGAUUUCCUACGGCCUCAGGCAGGUGUCUGAGCUGAAAGAGCCAGCAGUGCCAGCACCCAUGACAGACGGGCUGCCCAAGCUGUACAGGACGAAGGGCUAUCUUCCCAUGGGUGCUUGGAGGGGCAAAGCCUGAGAGCCCCUUGACUGUUAGCAUGCCAGGGUGCAGAGGGACUGCACAGGAGCUGCUGGGUUGGUUCUCUUGCUCCCUUGAGCUGUGCAAAGCAGCCAUGAGAUCUCACGAAGGAGCAGUGCCAGAAUCAGCCUGCAAGGCACCUUCUGCCAGUCCCUAAGGCCUGCAGGGAGGGGUGUUGCAGGCAGAUCUCAGCUUGACCCUGCCAUGUUAGUCACCCCAAUAAAGGUGUCAAGAGCUCUCUAGUGGUCCAGCUGGGACUCGUGCAGACUAAGUGUCCCUUUUCUCCCGUGUUAGUGUUUCUUGCAGGCCACUCUUCCUGGCCAAGGCAGGCUGGGCCUUCACAGGUCCCUGUCCCUAGGUGUUAGGCCAUCUCUUCUGCAGAUGGCCUUCUUGUUCUUAUCCCUGCCUUCCAGGUCCCCUUACAAAGCUUCCACCUGGGCUAGGCAUCUGGAAUUCCUUUUAAAGCAAGGAUGCUCAUGCAUAUACAGUAUUACUUUCAUAGAGGGUCUCACUGGGCAGCCCUGGCUGUCCUGGAGCUCACUAUGUAGACCAGGCUGGCCUCAAACUCACAAAGCCUGCCUGUCUCUACAUCCAUAGUGGUGUACUCCACCACACUGACUGCUCCUUUUUUAAGUUUAUUUUUGUGAGCACGAGUGUUUUGUCUGCAUAUAGUUCUGUGUGUCACACAUGGAAGACAAAAGGUGCUGCCAGAUGCCCCGGGACGAGGGUUACAGGCAGUUAUGAGCCUCCAUGUGGGUACGGGGAGCUGACCGCAGCUUCUCUGGAGGAGUAGCCAGUGCUCUCACCUGCUCAGCGACCCCUCCAGCCUGUAAGCGAGUUCUUCGUUUCUCUUGUGCAUACAGGGCUUUUGUUUGUAUGUAUGUCUAUGUCUGGGCACUGUGUGUUUGUCUGGUACCAGAGGAGGUCAGAAGAGGCCAUCAGAACUGGAGUUGCCAGCAGCUAUGUGGGUGCUGGAAAUCAAAACUGAAACUAGUCCCUCUGAAGAGCAGCUAAUGCUCUCAUCUGCUCAGUAUCUCUUCAGCUCCCCGAAUGUGCUUUCUACACACACACACACACACACACACACACACACACACACACACACACACACACACAUUGAAGGAUAAAAUUAAAACUCCAAAAUAAUGAACCUGUUGGGAGGGCAGUAGAAAGGUGUCUUAAUUAAGGGUUGAUACAAUGAAACACUCGGACAGAAAGCAACUUGGAGAGGAGAGGGUUUAUAUAAUGGCUUACACAUCCACACCAUUGUUCAGCAUUGGAGGAAGUCAGGACAGGAACUCAAGCAGGGCAGGAACCUGGAGGCAGGAGCUGGUGCAGAGGCCACAGAGGAGGGCUGCUUACUGGCUUCCUCCCCAUGAAGGUGCUCAGCCUGCUUUCUUAUAGAACCCAGGACCACCAGCCAGGAGAGGAGGUAGUACAACCCACAGUGGGCUGGGCCCUUCCCCAUCAAUCACUAAGGAAAUCUACAGGUUUGCCUGUAUUGAGCAUCUUAAGUUCAGUGCAGGGAAGUCCUGUAUGUAGAAGAACUGCCAUGUCCAGAGGACAUAAGUUUAUAGUUCUCUGCCCCAGCUUCCAAGAUGUUCUCUGAGCUCUGGGGCUAUAAUUUGCCUUUAAUUGUACUCUUUUUUUUUUUAAAUUUAUUUAUUAUAUGUAAGCACUCUGUAGCUGUCUUCAGACACUCCGAAAGAGGGCAUCAGAUCUCAUUAUGGAUGGUUGUGAGCCACCAUGUGGUUGCUGGGAUUUGAACUCAGGACCUCUGGAAGAGCAGUCAGUGCUCUUAACCGCUGAGCCAUCUCUCCAGCCCCUAAUUGUACUCUUUUGUUGCCGUUACUAUUGUUUUGGCGAUAGGUUCUUACUGGCUAUGUAAGCCAGGCUGGCCCGGAACUCACAGAGAUCCACCUUCUGCUUCCUUGUAAGAGUUGAGAUUAAAGACUUGGGCCACCAUGCCAGGUCUCAAUUGGACUCUUAAAGUAGUAAACACUGGAGGGCUUAGCUAUUACUCUUGUGGAGGACCUGGGUUUGAUUCCCGGCAUACAGAUGGUGGCUCACAACCGUUUGCAACUCCAGUUUUGGAAGAUCCAACACCCUCUUCUGACGUCCGUGGAUACCAGGCACACACAUACAUGCAGGCAAAACACUCAUCUAGAUUAAAUAAUUUAAUAUAAAUUCUAAAGUAGUAAAUAAUCUUGAACUUGAACUUUGGGUAUUAGGAGCCUGGCAAAUGGGUCCCUGAGUUUGAAACCAGUUCGGUCUACAUGCUGAGUUCUAAGCCACUCAGAGCUACAUAGUCUAUUAAAACAAACAAACAAACAAACAAAAAUAAACACAAAAAUCAACCAACCAACCAAUCCAACCCGUCCUGAGGGAUGGUUCAGCAGUUAGGAAUUCCUACUGCUCUUGGAUAGGUCAUUAGCAUGCUCCUCAACACCUAUGUCAGGUGGCUCACAACUGUCCGUAGCUCCUGGGUAUCCCACACUGUGCUGUGCUACAGACGUUUCCUGGGAAGACACAACACACGUCUACUCACCCCAGAAAGGGAGACUUGAUAGACCAAAGUAACAAUUGCACCAAUGCCCAACUUGAUACGGCAAUGAGUUUUAUUGGGGUUAUUUACAAGAUUAUGGGAUAGGGGCUACUUACCCUAUCAGAAAUGACACCAAGUCACAGCAGCAAGUGUCUACGCCAGCACAGGUGACAGCUCAUCAAAGCGGGAACGGGAAGCAUGCCACAGGCUGCAGGCAUCGCAGCAGGUCAGUGUCCUUUUCCUGGUGCCCUGUUCUGAUGAUCGUCUAGGCAGCUCAGCUGGUCUCUAAGAGUCAUUGUAGCUUGGCUGGUCUGGGAUCAUCUCUCAGAAGCCUUUAUUUUUGUAACAGCUACACACUACACUUUAAAAAGAAAUCUUUAACUUGGGAGGCAGAGGCGGUGGAUUUCUAAGUUCGAGGCCAGCCCGGUCUACAGAGUGAGUUCCAGGACAGCCAGGGCUACACAGAGAAACCCUGUCUCAAAAAAAAAAAAAAAAAAAAAAAACUUUAUGUCUACAAUCACACAUAUUGUAUGUGUGUGUGUGGUGCGCCAUAGCUUAAGUAUGGAAGUCACAAGACUGUGGGAAUCAGUGCCCUAUUGCUACCAUACGGGCCCUGAGGGGAUGAACUUAGCUAAUCAGCGUUGGUGGCACCUUUCCCUCUGCACUAUCUCCCUGACCCCAACAAAAUAUUAAGCAAAUUCAAGACAAAUAUUACAGUAGAAAAAUGCAUUCACUAAUCAUGCUGCAAAGGGAUAAUAUGUAAAAAGCAUCUAGAAAUAAAACUUGGGAAAACCGGCAAAGGGUACAUAAGCAGGCAUUCCACAAAAACACUAAUUACGGGACUUAGCCACAGGGACUCUGAGAAGCCUCUGCGGUUCCAUCCUUUGUUUCUCCGUGCGAGUGUGGGUGUGGCAUGGAGCGUGUGCAGAGGUCAGAGGUCAGGUUCCAGUAUCAGUCCUUACCUUGCAUUUUGUCUGAGAGAGGGGCUUUUUUGUGACUCUCAUUUGCCACUGUAUAUGCUGGCCAUGAACUGUAUUCUUCUGCUCCCAGUUCCAUCUCACCAUAGGAGCCCUGGGGCCACGUGGGACUUCAGAGUCCUUGCAUCCAAAGGACAAGCUCUCUACCCAUUGAGCAACCUUACCGGUUCUCUUUUAAGUUGGGUCUCCUGUGUGGCUCUGGCUAGCCUGAACUCAAAGAUCUGCCUGACUGGAUUAUAGGUGCAUACUACUACUUGUGCUGGGUUUUUUGUUUUUGCUUUUUUAAAAAGACAGUCUCCAGUGUAGCCCAGGCUGGCCAAGGAUCUGCAGUUCUUCUACCUGGGAUUUCAGGCCUGCACUUGGCUAGUAUGUGACAAUACCGAAACCACUGUGAUGAGCCUAGAAUGUGGCUCAAUGGUUGGGUGCUUGCCUAUAAUUUCUGUAGAUAGUUCAGAUGUUUGGCAUUUCAGGCUGAAAAGAUUAACCAUUGAUGACACUUAGGAAUCACAGGAACCAUGCCCCUGUUCCCUGAUGAUGGAUACCAUUCUGUGGACAACUGGCAGUAUCUGCCAGAAUGUGGACUGUGUGGAAUUUCACCUCUAGAAAUCCAGCCCACCCAUAUGACAAACAAGGGACAAACACCAGCUGUGCAUGGUGGCUCAACACCUGACCCCAGCUACUUGAGAGGCUCAGGUAGGAGUAUUGUGAGUUCAAAGCCAGCCUCAACUACCGGGUGAUUUCAAAGCCAGCCUCAACUACAGGGUGAUUUCAAAGCCAGCUACGUAUUAAAUUCCGGGCCAAUUUUGGCUACAUGGUAAGACCUUAAAUAAAACUGGAAGAACCAAGCAUAGCCUGGGCUACACAGUGCAACUGUCUCAGAAAAACCAAGGGCACUUGCCUAGUCUGUUCAAUGCCCUCAAUUCAGCUGUGCAUCUGUGGAACUGAAAUAAUAUAAGCUUAUCCACCAUGUGUUGAAUAGCAAUAGGCAAGACAGGGCCCAAGUGUUUAUUAUUAUAUUAUUAUUAUUAUUUUGAGACACCCUCAUGUAGCCCAGGCUGGCCUCAGAUUUAAUAUAUAGCAAAAGAUGGCCUUGACUUGGUCCCCACACCUCCUCUCAACUACAAGCAUGACAGGUUUGAACCAGCAUACCCAGUUCACUUGGUGCUGUGGCUGGAACCUGGGGCUUCCUGCAUGCUAGACAAGCACCCUGACAGCCAGUCACAUCCCAAGCCCUAGUGUUCUUUGCAGGGGAAUGCUCUUGUCCUAGUUGGCCCACAGGAUGCUGUGCUAUAACGUGGAGAUGAUGGACCAGGAGUCCCAAGAUAUAAAAA
Long non-coding RNA from Mus musculus (house mouse), 6629 nucleotides. RefSeq annotates it as predicted gene, 54130. The transcript is spliced from 2 exons. Lineage: Eukaryota; Metazoa; Chordata; Mammalia; Rodentia; Muridae. The record is from RefSeq and is a predicted model, not a curated record.